ACGGGGUGCAGCAGGCGCGAAACCUCCGCAAUGCGGGAAACCGCGACGGGGUUAGCCGGAGUGCCCGUGCAUUGCACGGGCUGUCGGGGUGCCUAAACAGCACCCCAUAGCAAGGGCCGGGCAAGGCCGGUGGCAGCCGCCGCGGUAAGACCGGCGGCCCGAGUGGCGGCCACUCUUAUUGGGCCUAAAGCGUCCGUAGCCGGCCCAGUAAGUCCCCCGGGAAAUCUGGUCGCUUAACGAUCAGACUUCCGGGGGAUACUGCUGGGCUAGGGACCGGGAGAGGCCGAGGGUAUUCCCGGGGUAGGGGUGAAAUCCUGUAAUCCCGGGAGGACCACCUGUGGCGAAGGCGCUCGGCUGGAACGGGUCCGAUGGUGAGGGACGAAGGCCUGGGGAGCGAACCGGAUUAGAUACCCGGGUAGUCCAGGCUGUAAACGAUGCGGGCUAGGUGUCACCGGAGCUACGAGCUCCGGUGGUGCCGGAGGGAAGCCGUUAAGCCCGCCGCCUGGGAGGUACGGCCGCAAGGCUGAAACUUAAAGGAAUUGGCGGGGGAGCA
Molecule: ribosomal RNA, 553 nt
Filed under: uncultured euryarchaeote
Lineage: Archaea; Methanobacteriati; Methanobacteriota
Description: bacterial SSU rRNA
Rfam family: Archaeal small subunit ribosomal RNA
Source: RNAcentral